CAAGACUUGACAUCGCAAGCAUAGCUAUGAAAGUAGCGAAUUCCUUCGGGACUUGCAGACAGAUGGUGCAUGGUUGUCGUCAGCUCGUGUCGUGAGAUGUUCGGUUAAGUCCGGCAACGAGCGCAACCCUUAUGGCCGGUUGCCAAUAUUAAGUUAGGAACUCCGGUCAGACUGCCGUGGUCAACACGGAGGAAGGUGGGGAUGACGUCAAAUCAUCAUGCCUCUUACGUCUUGGGCUACACACGUGCUACAAUGGAUGCUACAAAGAGCUGCGAACUCGCAAGAGCAAGCGAAUCUCAAAAAAACAUUCCCAGUUCGGAUUGAGGGCUGCAACCCGCCCUCAUGAAGUUGGAGUUGCUAGUAAUCCCGAAUCAGAAUGUCGGGGUGAAUGCGUUCCC
Molecule: ribosomal RNA, 398 nt
Filed under: uncultured bacterium
Lineage: Bacteria
Description: bacterial SSU rRNA
Rfam family: Bacterial small subunit ribosomal RNA
Source: RNAcentral